RNAcentral lists this transfer RNA (70 nucleotides) under Ovis aries (sheep). It matches the Rfam family "tRNA". From Rfam's summary of the family: Transfer RNA (tRNA) molecules are approximately 80 nucleotides in length. Lineage: Eukaryota; Metazoa; Chordata; Mammalia; Artiodactyla; Bovidae. The record is from Rfam by way of RNAcentral.
UCCUAGAUAGCUCAGUGGUAGAGAAUCUGCCUGCCAAAAAGAAGACCAGGGUUUGAUCCCUGUGUUGGGA